CAUAGUGGUCAAGUAAGACAGUAAUACAUGCAUUUAAAACCAUAGAAUAGAUAGACCAGAUACUAUAAUGCAUUUAAACUGUAAAAUAAAUCAAGCAGGAAUCGAUAGAGAAUAAUGUCUGGUUCAGGCUCCAUUAGCAACCUUAAUUAAUUAUGCAUAUCUAUUAAUUUGCACAAAAUACAGUAUUACCAUUUAUUCGAACUUUAAUUCCAUGAUAGGAAAUAGGGUGAGG
This 232-nucleotide long non-coding RNA is filed under the name Carica papaya (papaya). Its description in RNAcentral is "long non-coding RNA (CPAP_LNC008418)". The record is from RNAcentral. Lineage: Eukaryota; Viridiplantae; Streptophyta; Magnoliopsida; Brassicales; Caricaceae.